UUCAUUUAAUCCGGUGAUCUGUUACGUGUCAUUGGUGUGACCUUGUAGGUUUAGUCAAGAGUAAGUUGUGAGUUCAAUAUCCAUUAGAACUCACUGAUCGGAAGCAUUGCUCCAGCUAGCUGUUCCGAUCACUUGAUCUCACUGAAUUUAUUGUUCGCAAUUAAUCUGAACCUUGGUAUUAGACUUAAUGCACCUUGGGUGAAGGACAUAUUUCCUUCAGAUAAAGGCCACAUUAUAUUCGAGGCAUCAUAGAUUGUGUUCCUAUGCCGUGACUUAUCUGAUUUCUUUGUGGUUUGACAUACUGGAUGUCUGCUCUACUAUAAGGAAUGGUUGAAAGAAAUCGCAUGUUAACAAAAGAAAAAUAAAAGCUUGAAUGUAAUAUGCAAUAUAUGAUGUAUCAACAUGAUAUUGUUUCAUCAUAUUUAAUGUUCAUGAUUCAUCUGUUUUAUUAUGUCAGCUUCUCAGCACCAUCAACACCUUAGCUUCAUCAGAUUGAUUUUCAAUCUCCUUGGUGGUUGGUGAAUAUUGUGGAGUAUGAUGGAAAACCAAGUAGAUUGGAGCAAAAACAGGGGAUGUGCGACCGAACAGAUACUUUGUGCGCCCGAACAAUGAAGAAGUGGUGGACUCAAGGAAGAUGCAGAUAUGUGCGACCGAACGGCUCUAUGUGUUCGAUCGCACAGAAUUUCUGUGCGGUCGAACAUGACGAAGGAAUUCAGUCUUCGCUUUGUUUUCUCGCACAAAAAAUGAUGUGUGCUCGCACCAGCUUUUCCCAUUCGAUCGCACAGGGGGUCUGUGCAACCGAACGUCGACGCGGGCUGCGAUAAUUCGAAUUUUAGCUUCUAUUUGGGGAAACUUAUAAAUAACUUUUUCGUUUAAUUUUCAUUAUCAUUCAAUUUUAGAACUUCAUAAUUAAACUUUUUAGAAUAUUAGAGAGAAUUUCUUAGUUUUCAAGCUUUGUUUUGAGGAGAGAGAAACUCCAUUGGAGGAAGCUUCAAGUUGUAAAUCUCUUCAACUCUUUAAUUCUUUUGCAAUUUCAAUUCAAUUUCUU
This is a long non-coding RNA of Spinacia oleracea (spinach), 1048 nucleotides long. RefSeq lists it as uncharacterized. NCBI's taxonomy places the organism in Eukaryota, Viridiplantae, Streptophyta, Magnoliopsida, Caryophyllales, Amaranthaceae. The transcript has 2 exons. The record is from RefSeq and is a predicted model, not a curated record.